Molecule: transfer RNA, 370 nt
Filed under: Leuconostoc carnosum
Lineage: Bacteria; Bacillati; Bacillota; Bacilli; Lactobacillales; Lactobacillaceae
Rfam family: tRNA (bases 113-185)
Source: RNAcentral
AAGGAUAAUCGGAAAACGACAGUGACUUUGGUGUCAAGUUCGUAACGUUCAAAGUUUUGUUUAGUUUUGAGUGUGGUACUGUUAUAGGUAUCAUGGUCAAAGAUGAACCUAUGGGGAAUUAGCUCAGCUGGGAGAGCACCUGCUUUGCAAGCAGGGGGUCAGCGGUUCGAUCCCGCUAUUCUCCAUAGGCAACUGGCAGCAGUUGUCGUGGUUGUACAUUGAAAACUGAAUAGUAACAAAUUCUUUUAAUAAUUUUUAAUUAUAAAUUGAACCGAGAAACAACACAAAAAAGUUCUUUAAAAAGAACGGUUUAAUCGCAGGUCUGAAAAACGACCAACUCAUAAACUUGAACCACAACUUCGGUUGUAUA